RNAcentral lists this ribosomal RNA (134 nucleotides) under uncultured bacterium. RNAcentral's name for it is "partial 16S ribosomal RNA". It matches the Rfam family "Bacterial small subunit ribosomal RNA", at positions 372 to 523 of the family's 1533-position model. The record is from RNAcentral.
UGGGCGCAGCCUGAUCUAGCCAUGCCGCGUGAGUGAUAGAAGGCCUUAGGGUUGUAAAGCUCUUUCAGCUGGGAAGAUAAUGACGGUACCAGCAGAAGAAGCCCCGGCUAACUCCGUGCCAGCAGCCGCGGUAA